UGAGGAGUUUUUGUCCCCCUUCCUCCAGCUCGGCAGCGCAGGGAUCUGUGCGGUGCUGCGGCCGAGCUGAAUGAGAUUGAAGAAGAGUUCUUCUUGUUUUGUAGCUUCAGUUUUUCUCUUUUGCUCUUUUUCUCUAAAAGUCGGAUUCUCUCCGGAGCAGCGGCGCCUGUGAGCGGGGAGCAGCGGCCCGAGCGAGCGGUCCCGGAGCCUCCACCGUGGAUCGGCUGCUGACACAUAUAUAUUUAAUUAAUCUGGAGGAGGACUGCUGCUGAGGCAGCACAGAGGGGUGGAGUCCAGUCCCACAGCCAGGUGCGGCACUUUAAUGCUUCAGUUGGAUGGUUUUCCUACUGGACACGGUGUUAAGG
Molecule: non-coding RNA, 365 nt
Organism: Paralichthys olivaceus (Japanese flounder)
Lineage: Eukaryota; Metazoa; Chordata; Actinopteri; Pleuronectiformes; Paralichthyidae
Source: RefSeq, a predicted model, not a curated record